Molecule: long non-coding RNA, 610 nt
Organism: Ipomoea nil (Japanese morning glory)
Lineage: Eukaryota; Viridiplantae; Streptophyta; Magnoliopsida; Solanales; Convolvulaceae
Exons: 2
Source: RefSeq, a predicted model, not a curated record
AAAUAUUCCUCUUUCCCACAUCUCUCUCAAUUUAUCCUUCCCUAAUAACCGAACAUUUUAGCCUUGUAUACAGGUCUUGGAGACUUGGAGAAGGUGGUUUGGGUUGUGGAACGACGAAGGCUAGUUGAGCAAGAUGGAGAAGCAGGGCACGUGCAUUACUAACUCAUGCACUUUAACCCGAAGCUAGCUUAAUGUUAGCUAGGCAUCAUAUGGUUGCCACAUGUAAUCCAUAGAUAUGGUGCAUUGUGUGCUUAGCUUCAACUGGCUCAAUGAGUUAGUACUUCAUGUGCCUGCCUUCCCCAUCGUGAUCACUCGACCUUAUACUAAUGGAUUCACAGGAUGGAUUGCUGCCCGAAACCCUCUACAACACUAGUCUCAGCAGAUCUCUGUCGCAGCCUUGCAGAAGUAUUGAUAUGUCUACAAGCAAGAAGGGAGGAAAUGGGGCACUUUUUUCCCCGGAUCUAAUCUUAGUAGCUUCGUUUUCUGCCACUGUUGAUUGAGUGAGUGGCCACAAUCAUCAGUACACAGUUGUGUUAUGUAGUUGUAACAAUUUUCAUGUUAUCCACCAUUACAGAGAGCACUCGGAAGCCGAAUUGAAUGUUUCAGAAUC